Molecule: ribosomal RNA, 214 nt
Filed under: uncultured bacterium
Lineage: Bacteria
Description: partial 16S ribosomal RNA
Rfam family: Bacterial small subunit ribosomal RNA
Source: RNAcentral
CCCAGUUCGGAUUGCAGGCUGCAACCCGCCUGCAUGAAGUUGGAAUCGCUAGUAAUCGCGGAUCAGCAUGCCGCGGUGAAUACGUUCCCGGGCCUUGUACACACCGCCCGUCACACCAUGAGAGUCGGGAACACCCGAAGUCCGUAGCCUGACCGCAAGGGGGGCGCGGCCGAAGGUGGGUUCGAUAAUUGGGGUGAAGUCGUAACAAGGUACC